ACUAGAGCCCGAUGACUGAAUUCACACCCCGUUUCCAGGCUGAAUUUUUAGCUAUAAAAAUCACCACUCACGGUAGUGCUUGGGUUACAAACUGGGCUGUUUUCAUUCAAGACACAUCCUUUGCUCUUUAUUCCAUUCCUCACGUCACUCAGUGGCAAACUAUUUAACGCAACAUAAUUCACCUGUCUAAAGCACCUAAAAGCCAAGUACCUGACUCUGAUGUGUACCCCAGACAGGAGCAGGGUCCCCCCGCGACACAAACCCAAGCCGAGCUCCGGUGCAGCAGCAGAGGCCGACCUAGGGCUGAGCGGGCAGCACCGAACAGACUGCCGGGGCUGCUGCUCCGGCCUGACGGGAUCACGGGCGUGAUGGAUGUUGGCGCUGCAGCUGCUCGUGCUUUUGGACAAGUCACUGAACAUCUCUGAACUGUUGUUUUGGUUUUUAUUUUUAUUUUGUAAGAGAAAAUUAAAUGUCCAAAGCCACGCUCGCCCAUCCCGGUAAAGAAUACCACACAUACAGAUAGCCCGAGUUCCGCUGCUCGCCCCCCUUCGCCCGCCCCCGGCCGCCUUCAUCUGCCCACAGCGCAGCCGGGCCUCGCCAUGCGGCGCAGCGCCCGGCCCGCGCGGCACCGCGAAAUGGCGGACCGCCCCUCCAGCCGUGCCUCCUACCGCCUUCCCCAGCUUCCAGCUCGCGGCAGCGGCGGGAGGAUGAUCCGGCCCCCCUGCGGGCGGCGGGGCGGGGCGGGGAUGGGAUAGAGCAGGAGCGGCUCUGCAGGACCGCCACGGCACCACCCGACAUGGCGGCGAUGGCUGCCCCUCAGCGCGGGCGAGCAGGGCGGGCCCGGGGCGGGGCCUGCGGAGCCCAUAAAGCGCCUCGCGCGGGCCCUCGCGGCCUCUUUCUCCGCAGCGGCCGAGGUGCGUAGAGGUACUGGUGGGCUGGGCGGAUCUGGGAUUCCCCUCUGCCCCUUCCUGGGUGGGUGGCCGGGCCUCUGCGGGCGGCCCGGGGCGUCUCCGUGCCCGCCCGCCCGACCGCUGAGGCAUCCGCCCGUUCCGUGUGAUCGCCUCGCUCCCGCUCGGCCUCGGGUCUUAUCCCCAAGGGCCCCUCACCGGGCUCCGGCCGCUCUUCCCUGGAAGGUCACACGGAGCUUCCCCGGACGUGUCCAGGCGUUCGCUGGUAGAGGUGAUGACUCUUUCCCCGUCAGAGCGACAGUGUUGACUACCGCUGUCCAAGCCAGGGCGCGGCAGAGCCCAAGGCGCCGGCGGGAGCCCCGUGCCCCACGCCAGGCCGGCGAUGAGGGCACUUCCGCGGCGUGCGCCGGCAGGCCCGAGCCCCUGCCAGGGCCCAGCGGGCACUGUGAAGGCAGAAGUGGGGCUGAGCCUUGGGGAGACCUGAAGUUAAGGCUGCAGCUGACAGUGAAGAAGUGUGUGAUGUGGGCAGUUGUCUGGUUUGCUCCAUCAUGCCUGAACCUCUAGCACAUAAUGGUUGAGACUUAUAAGAAGUUGUCCUGGGCCCUCCGGGGGUUUCAGUGCUCUGCUAAAGAAGAUGGAUGGUUCUGCUGCUCCCAUGCUGCUGCCUGGGAUCCUCAUCCAAGCCACAGCAUUCACAUCACCCUGCGACAGCUCUGGUCUUUCCUCAGAGCUGUCAGGCGUGAUGAAUUUGUCUCCUGCCAACAGAUAGAGGGUGUUACAUUUUUUGUCCCCUGGGUACAAGGCAUGUAACUGGAAUGUAUGCUGGAACUUGCUGCAUGUUUAAUGCAGUUGGAUGCUUUUGUCUGCAGGGGCUGCAUUCCUUGCCUGGAAUGUUAUCCUGCCACAGUCAUUAAAGGCAAGGAAAAUGCUCCUUGGAGCAGUUGUCAGGUUGGGAGGAUGGCCUUGUGUGUAAGGAAAGGAGUCAGGGCUUGAUUCUCCCCUGCCAAUCCAGAAAGCUUUAGUGGUGUAUCCCUGGCAGUCUGUGAAGAGGGCAAGGGGUGUCUGGAUGCUGCAGCACAGUGUGUUUCUGUACUGUUGAGAGCCUGUUUUUAAUAAAAUCUGAGCACUGGGUGAAUUUGGCUGGUGACUGAAAUUCUCUUGACCCACGUUUAACAGCUCAUUCCUGGAUCUCCCAAUUGUUUGGGGAGUUGGAGAGCACAGCAACAGUGUGCUGCUGUGAGUGAUAAUGGAGCUGCCUGCUGCCUCAAGCCAGGAGAUGAGGCAUGAUCUCAUGGAACAGAGCUCCACACACCCUGGAGUAGAAGUGCUUGGCUGAGGCUGUGGCUGCUGCUGUGCUGCAGGUAUCACGAGGGCAGGCUGUGCUCAGCCACUGGACAAGGGUGGUCCCUCAGUUAAAUAAAACAGUUCCAGUGGUUUUGGGAGGGGACUUUUUGAUGUCUGAGCUGACAGUGGCCUUUGCCAUGUAUGCUUGUUAGGAAACAGCAAUGAUGGAAAGUCGACUACUAUUCAGCAUUCAAAGGAGUCUUCAAUUUAAUUGAAUCGAGAUUUUUCUCAUUCAAUUAAUGUAAGCAGUGUGAUCUCUUGAAACUACAUAUUGAUGAGGGACCAGAACUGCUGCUAGUAUAAUUACUUCAUUAAUGUAAUGAGCAGACCUACCAGCAAACAUCCUGUAGGGAGGAGAGAGUGCUGCUUGUCCAGUGGGAGCUGGAGGCACAGAUGCAGCUUAAACAUGUUCUUGGCAUGUUUUACUACCUCUGCAAGAACAGUUGCUCAGGUCGGGUUUCAGACUGUUGCUAUUGCACGCACGCAUCAGGAUGCAAUUUCAAACUGUUGGUAGGGUGCUAAUCCCAGGCAGCCCCUGACUGCUGGGGGCAGGGUCUGGGUUCCUGGGAGCUCGGUUUGGGUUCCUGGGGGCGCAGGGUCUGGGUUCCUGGGGGCGCAGGGUCUGGGUUCCUGGGGGGCAGAGUCUGGGUUCCUGGGAGCUGGGUCUGGGUUCCUGGGAGCUGGGUCUGGGUUCCUGGGGGGCAGGGUCUGGGUUCCUGGGGGCGCAGGGUCUGGGUUCCUGGGGGGCAGAGUUUGGGUUCCUGG
Corvus moneduloides (New Caledonian crow) is the source of this 3017-nucleotide long non-coding RNA. The record is from Ensembl. Lineage: Eukaryota; Metazoa; Chordata; Aves; Passeriformes; Corvidae.